CAGGACUCCAGGAUCAUGACUCAAGCGGAAGGCAGAAGCUUAACCAACUGAUCUACCCAGGCGUCUCAAUUAAGGAGCAUUUUAAAAAUCACUGGAAUCAUCUGUUCUUUAAAGGGCACGAUGUUUGAUGCAUAUCAAUAACACCUACCUUUUGGAUUGUGUUGUUUAGACUUCUAGAUCAUCAUUUAAUUUUGGCCACUGGAUCUGUUUUGGAUUGGAAAAGGACUCCUCAAGAAAUGACAGUCCCUUGGUGCUGCAUUUAAUUGGAGACGUGCUCAGAGACGGUCGAGAAUAAUUAUGACUCCUGAAAUGUCAAGCUCUUCAAAAGUCUGCCAUUGCCCUCCCUGCCACCCUGAACAGCUCUGGGAGCCCAAACCAUGCAGCCCCCCAGAGCAUACCUGGGAAAUCUGAGUGACAUUGACAUGCAGGCAGCAGGAAGACGCACAGUGAACCGAGGAGCCUGUGCUGAGCUCAGAAGAGGUCCAUCUCCAGACCCUUCUCAGACUCUGGACCGUUCCACGCCACAGGCUCCCAAGACUGCUUGUUUUACCAUCCUGCAUAUGCUUAAGGACUUGUCUUCCUCAAUGGGCCAAAAUCCCUUGAAGAUCUCUGGAGGGGGGGGUGUCCGUGGACUCCAUGUCAAGAACCCCUGGCUGGGCGCCUGGGUGGCUCAGAUGG
Leptonychotes weddellii (Weddell seal) is the source of this 678-nucleotide non-coding RNA. NCBI's taxonomy places the organism in Eukaryota, Metazoa, Chordata, Mammalia, Carnivora, Phocidae. The record is from RefSeq and is a predicted model, not a curated record.